This 253-nucleotide ribosomal RNA is filed under the name uncultured bacterium. RNAcentral describes it as "partial 16S ribosomal RNA". It matches the Rfam family "Bacterial small subunit ribosomal RNA", at positions 524 to 776 of the family's 1533-position model. The record is from RNAcentral.
UACAGAGGGUGCAAGCGUUGUUCGGAAUUAUUGGGCGUAAAGCGCGUGUAGGCGGCGAAGCAAGUCGGGUGUGAAAUCCCUCAGCUUAACUGAGGAAGUGCGCUCGAAACUGUUUUGCUUGAGUACCGGAGAGGGUGGCGGAAUUCCCCAAGUAGAGGUGAAAUUCGUAGAUAUGGGGAGGAACACCGGUGGCGAAGGCGGCCACCUGGACGGAUACUGACGCUGAGACGCGAAAGCGUGGGUAGCAAACAGG